GGCGAACGGGUGAGUAACACGUAGGUAACCUGCCCUCAAGACGAGGAUAACCAUUGGAAACGAUGGCUAAUACUGGAUAGGUAUGAAGAAGGCAUCUUCUUCAUAUUAAAGGACCCCUGGUAUACUUGAGGAUGGACCUGCGGCGCAUUAGUUAGUUGGUGAGGUAAUGGCUCACCAAGACGAUGAUGCGUAGCCGGACUGAGAGGUUGAACGGCCACAUUGGGACUGAGACACGGCCCAAACUCCUACGGGAGGCAGCAGUAGGGAAUUUUCGGCAAUGGAGGAAACUCUGACCGAGCAACGCCGCGUGAAUGAAGACAUAUUUCGGUAUGUAAAGUUCUUUUAUCAGGGAAGAAUGUUCCAUGGAAAAAUGGAAGUGACGGUACCUGAUGAAUAAGCCCCGGCUAACUAUGUGCCAGCAGCCGCGGUAAUACAUAGGGGGCGAGCGUUAUCCGGAAUUAUUGGGCGUAAAGGGUGCGUAGGCGGCUUUUUAAGUCCUUGGUAUAAGUGCAGUGCUUAACGCUGUGAUGCUAAGGAAACUGGAAGGCUUGAGUAAGAUAGAGGCAAGUGGAAUUCCAUGUGUAGCGGUAAAAUGCGUAAAUAUAUGGAGGAACACCAGUGGCGAAGGCGGCUUGCUGGGUCUUUACUGACGCUGAGGCACGAAAGCGUGGGGAGCAAACAGGAUUAGAUACCCUGGUAGUCCACGCUGUAAACGAUGAGUACUAAGUAUUGGAGAAAUUCAGUGCUGUAGCUAACGCAAUAAGUACUCCGCCUGAGUAGUACGUACGCAAGUAUGAAA
This 799-nucleotide ribosomal RNA is filed under the name uncultured bacterium. RNAcentral's name for it is "bacterial SSU rRNA". It matches the Rfam family "Bacterial small subunit ribosomal RNA", at positions 97 to 899 of the family's 1533-position model. The record is from RNAcentral.